RNAcentral lists this ribosomal RNA (446 nucleotides) under Shigella sonnei. RNAcentral's name for it is "partial 23S ribosomal RNA". It matches the Rfam family "Bacterial large subunit ribosomal RNA", at positions 1220 to 1667 of the family's 2925-position model. The record is from RNAcentral. Lineage: Bacteria; Pseudomonadati; Pseudomonadota; Gammaproteobacteria; Enterobacterales; Enterobacteriaceae.
GUUGUUGGGUAGGGGAGCGUUCUGUAAGCCUGCGAAGGUGUGCUGUGAGGCAUGCUGGAGGUAUCAGAAGUGCGAAUGCUGACAUAAGUAACGAUAAAGCGGGUGAAAAGCCCGCUCGCCGGAAGACCAAGGGUUCCUGUCCAACGUUAAUCGGGGCAGGGUGAGUCGACCCCUAAGGCGAGGCCGAAAGGCGUAGUCGAUGGGAAACAGGUUAAUAUUCCUGUACUUGGUGUUACUGCGAAGGGGGGACGGAGAAGGCUAUGUUGGCCGGGCGACGGUUGUCCCGGUUUAAGCGUGUAGGCUGGUUUUCCAGGCAAAUCCGGAAAAUCAAGGCUGAGGCGUGAUGACGAGGCACUACGGUGCUGAAGCAACAAAUGCCCUGCUUCCAGGAAAAGCCUCUAAGCAUCAGGUAACAUCAAAUCGUACCCCAAACCGACACAGGUGGU